GCCCUGGUGGCUCAACAGUUAAGCACUUGACUGCUAACCAAAAAGUUGGUGGUUCGAACCCACCCAGGAGCU
RNAcentral lists this transfer RNA (72 nucleotides) under Loxodonta africana (African savanna elephant). It matches the Rfam family "tRNA". Rfam says of the family: Transfer RNA (tRNA) molecules are approximately 80 nucleotides in length. Their secondary structure includes four short double-helical elements and three loops (D, anti-codon, and T loops). Further hydrogen bonds mediate the characteristic L-shaped molecular structure. tRNAs have two regions of fundamental functional importance: the anti-codon, which is responsible for specific mRNA codon recognition, and the 3' end, to which the tRNAs corresponding amino acid is attached (by aminoacyl-tRNA synthetases). tRNAs cope with the degeneracy of the genetic code in two manners: having more than one tRNA (with a specific anti-codon) for a particular amino acid; and 'wobble' base-pairing, i.e. permitting non-standard base-pairing at the 3rd anti-codon position. The record is from Rfam by way of RNAcentral. Lineage: Eukaryota; Metazoa; Chordata; Mammalia; Proboscidea; Elephantidae.